Molecule: ribosomal RNA, 450 nt
Filed under: uncultured bacterium
Lineage: Bacteria
Description: bacterial SSU rRNA
Rfam family: Bacterial small subunit ribosomal RNA
Source: RNAcentral
GUGGGGAAUAUUGGACAAUGGGCGAAAGCCUGAUCCAGCCAUGCCGCGUGUGUGAAGAAGGUCUUCGGAUUGUAAAGCACUUUAAGUUGGGAGGAAGGGCAGUAAGUUAAUACCUUGCUGUUUUGACGUUACCGACAGAAUAAGCACCGGCUAACUUCGUGCCAGCAGCCGCGGUACUACGAAGGGUGCAAGCGUUAAUCGGAAUUACUGGGCGUAAAGCGCGCGUAGGUGGUUUUGUAAGUUGGAGGUGAAAUCCCCGGGCUCAACCUGGGAACUGCCUCCAAAACUGGAUGACUAGAGUAAGGUAGAGGGUAGUGGAAUUUCCUGUGUAGCGGUGAAAUGCGUAGAUAUAGGAAGGAACACCAGUGGCGAAGGCGACUACCUGGACUGAUACUGACACUGAGGUGCGAAAGCGUGGGGAGCAAACAGGAUUAGAUACCCUAGUAGUCC